UACGUAGGUGGCAAGCGUUGUCCGGAUUUAUUGGGUUUAAAGGGUGCGUAGGCGGCCUUAUAAGUCAGUGCUGAAAUAUCCCGGCUUAACCGGGAGGGUGGCAUUGAUACUGUAGGGCUUGAGUAAAGUUGAGGUUGGCGGAAUUGACGGUGUAGCGGUGAAAUGCUUAGAUAUCGUCAAGAACACCGAUAGUGAAGACAGCUAACUAAGCUUUAACUGACGCUGAGACGCGAAAGCGUGGGGAGCAAACAGG
Molecule: ribosomal RNA, 253 nt
Filed under: uncultured bacterium
Lineage: Bacteria
Description: partial 16S ribosomal RNA
Rfam family: Bacterial small subunit ribosomal RNA
Source: RNAcentral